This 1293-nucleotide ribosomal RNA is filed under the name uncultured bacterium. Its description in RNAcentral is "bacterial SSU rRNA". It matches the Rfam family "Bacterial small subunit ribosomal RNA", at positions 89 to 1399 of the family's 1533-position model. The record is from RNAcentral.
GCUUUAGUGGCGGACUGGUGAGUAACAUGUAAGCAAUCUGCCUAUUAGUGGGGAAUAACAGUGAGAAAUCAUUGCUAAUACCGCAUAUGCCAUAGUCAUCGCAUGAUGAUAGUGGGAAAGGAGUAAUUCGCUAAUAGAUGAGCUUGCACCUGAUUAGUUAGUUGGUGGGGUAACGGCCUACCAAGACGAUGAUCAGUAGCCGGACUGAGAGGUUGAACGGCCACAUUGGGACUGAGAUACGGCCCAGACUCCUACGGGAGGCAGCAGUCGGGAAUAUUGCGCAAUGGAGGAAACUCUGACGCAGUGACGCCGCGUAUAGGAUGAAGGUUUUCGGAUUGUAAACUAUUGUCGUUAGGGAAGAUACAAGACAGUACCUAAGGAGGAAGCUCCGGCUAACUACGUGCCAGCAGCCGCGGUAAUACGUAGGGAGCAAGCGUUAUCCGGAUUUAUUGGGUGUAAAGGGUGCGUAGACGGGAAAGCAAGUUAGUUGUGAAAUCCCUCGGCUUAACUGAGGAACUGCAACUAAAACUACUUUUCUUGAGUGCAGGAGAGGAAAGAGGAAUUCCUAGUGUAGCGGUGAAAUGCGUAGAUAUUAGGAGGAACACCAGUGGCGAAGGCGUCUUUCUGGACUGCAACUGACGUUGAGGCACGAAAGUGUGGGGAGCAAACAGGAUUAGAUACCCUGGUAGUCCACACCGUAAACGAUGAAUACUAGGUGUAGGGGGUAUCGACUCCCUCUGUGCCGCAGUUAACACAAUAAGUAUUCCGCCUGGGGAGUACGGCCGCAAGGUUGAAACUCAAAGGAAUUGACGGGGGCCCGCACAAGCAGUGGAUUAUGUGGUUUAAUUCGAAGCAACGCGAAGAACCUUACCAGGGCUUGACAUCCUCUGACCGCUCUAGAGAUAGAGUUUCCCUUCGGGGCAGAGAGACAGGUGGUGCAUGGUUGUCGUCAGCUCGUGUCGUGAGAUGUUUGGUUAAGUCCAAUAACGAGCGCAACCCCUAUGGUCAGUUGCCAUCAUUUAGUUGGGCACUCUGGCAAGACUGCCGCGGACAACGCGGAGGAAGGAGGGGACGACGUCAAAUCAUCAUGCCCCUUAUGUCCUGGGCUACACACGUAAUACAAUGGCAACGACAGAGGGCAGCGAACCCGCGAGGGCAAGCAAAUCCCCAAACGUUGUCUCAGUUCGGACUGCAGGCUGCAACCCGCAAGCACGAAGUCGGAAUUGCUAGUAAUGGCAGGUCAGCAUACUGCCGUGAAUACGUUCCUCGGGUCCUUGUACUCAAGGCCCGUCA